This 253-nucleotide ribosomal RNA is filed under the name uncultured bacterium. RNAcentral's name for it is "partial 16S ribosomal RNA". It matches the Rfam family "Bacterial small subunit ribosomal RNA", at positions 524 to 776 of the family's 1533-position model. The record is from RNAcentral.
UACGUACCGUACGAACGUUAUUCGGAAUUACUGGGCUUAAAGGGUUUGUAGGCGGCCAUGUAAGUGGGGUGUGAAAUCCCUCGGCUCAACCGAGGAAUGGCGCCCCAUACUGCAUGGCUUGAGGGAGACAGGGGUAAGCGGAACUGAUGGUGGAGCGGUGAAAUGCGUUGAUAUCAUCUGGAAUACCGGAGGCGAAGGCGGCUCACUGGGUAUCUUCUGACGCUGAGGUACGAAAGCCAGGGGAGCGAACGGG